Molecule: long non-coding RNA, 487 nt
Organism: Lolium perenne
Lineage: Eukaryota; Viridiplantae; Streptophyta; Magnoliopsida; Poales; Poaceae
Source: RefSeq, a predicted model, not a curated record
UAUGAAAAAAGCAAAAAGAACUGAUCCUCUGCAUAUGUUGAUCAGGUCCUUCUGAAUCCAAUUGUCAUAGCUCGACAACAGUUUGAAAGGCAGACUUGGAAACACUCACACUUCCCUUUCCUUUGUCUAUGCUUGGUCUGUCAUGGAAGUAAAAUUGCAGAAUAGCCCAUCAUGAUUGGGGUGAGUUUAUAAGAUUUCGCCGGAUUGGCUGCACAUUGGAGAAGACUAUGGGUAUUCAUUUCAAAAUCUCACCAGGUACUAGCUGAAUGUAAGGUUGCUGUCAAGAGGAAUUUGUUGAGAGGAUCAUGGCUGCAUGCAAGCAAGCUGAUAUUUUGUUGUUAGAUGCUUAGAUGCUUGAAAUACUAGUAUGAUGUCAAGCGUUCAUAAGUUUUGGGGACCUGAUGUAGUCUCAGGCUGUAACUCUAUGUGUUUGUAAAUUUUUUUUGUGAAUAUCUAUCGGUUAUAUGUUGCACAUUUGACUUCAUAU